GACGAACGCUGGCGGCGUGCUUAACACAUGCAAGUCGAGCGGUAAGGCCCUUUCGGGGGUACACGAGCGGCGAACGGGUGAGUAACACGUGGGUGACCUGCCCUCAGCUCUGGGAUAAGCCCGGGAAACUGGGUCUAAUACCGGAUAUGACUCCAUGACGCAUGUUGUGGGGUGGAAAGCCUUGUGCGGCUGAGGAUGGGCCCGCGGCCUAUCAGCUUGUUGGCGGGGUGANGGCCUACCAAGGCGACGACGGGUAGCCGGCCUGAGAGGGCGACCGGCCACACUGGGACUGAGACACGGCCCAGACUCCUACGGGAGGCAGCAGUGGGGAAUCUUGCGCAAUGGGCGAAAGCCUGACGCAGCGACGCCGCGUGAGGGA
RNAcentral lists this ribosomal RNA (379 nucleotides) under uncultured bacterium. RNAcentral describes it as "bacterial SSU rRNA". It matches the Rfam family "Bacterial small subunit ribosomal RNA", at positions 28 to 408 of the family's 1533-position model. The record is from RNAcentral.